GAUGAAGAACGCAGCGAAAUGCGAUAAGUAAUGUGAAUUGCAGAAUUCAGUGAAUCAUCGAAUCUUUGAACGCACAUUGCGCCCGCCGGCACUCCGGCGGGCAUGCCUGUCCGAGCGUCAUUUCAACCCUCAGGCCCGAACCCCCCCGGGGGGGGCGGGCCUGGUGUUGGGGCUCGGGGUCCGCGAGGCCCCCGUCCCCUAAAUCCAGUGGCGGUCGCGCCGCACCCUCCCCUGCGUAGUAGCACACCUCGCACCGGAGAGCAGCGCGUCCACGCCGUGAAACCCCCAACUUACCAAGGUUGACCUCGGAUCAGGUAGGAAUACCCGCUGAACUUAAGCAUAUCAAUAAGCGGAGGA
RNAcentral lists this unclassified non-coding RNA (357 nucleotides) under soil metagenome. RNAcentral's name for it is "partial contains 5.8S ribosomal RNA, internal transcribed spacer 2, and large subunit ribosomal RNA". The stretch from base 1 to 120 matches the Rfam family "5.8S ribosomal RNA", at positions 35 to 154 of the family's 154-position model. The record is from RNAcentral.